AUACGGAGGAUCCGAGCGUUAUCCGGAUUUAUUGGGUUUAAAGGGAGCGUAGGUGGGAUAUUAAGUCAGCUGUGAAAGUUUGGGGCUCAACCUUAAAAUUGCAGUUGAUACUGGUUUCCUUGAGUACGGUACAGGUGGGCGACAUUCGUGGUGUAGCGGUGAAAUGCUUAGAUAUCACGAAGAAGUCCGAUCGCGAAGGCAGCUCACCGGGCCGGAACUGACACUGAUGCUCGAAAGUGCGGGUAUCAAACAGGAUUAGAUACCCUGGUAGUCCGCACAGUAAACGAUGAAUACUCGCUGUUUGCGAUACACGGUAAGCGGCCAAGCGAAAGCGUUAAGUAUUCCACCUGGGGAGUACGCCGGCAACGGUGAAACUCAAAGGAAUUGGCGGGG
This 393-nucleotide ribosomal RNA is filed under the name uncultured bacterium. RNAcentral's name for it is "partial 16S ribosomal RNA". It matches the Rfam family "Bacterial small subunit ribosomal RNA", at positions 523 to 918 of the family's 1533-position model. The record is from RNAcentral.